ACGCGCUCUCCACUGGCCCGGAUGGCGCAGCCCUCCCUCCCCCCUCCCCACCUCUCCUUCUGGGCCUUCGGGAGUGUGGGCGCCCAGCGGCACCAGCAAGUCCCUGCAGAAAGCAACAGUGUGGAUACAUUGUGGAGGAGUUACCAAACGAAUUUGCUACUAAAAGGAAUCCCAAGGAGGCACUAUCUCGAGCCUGGAGAUGGAAGCCAGGAGGUCUUCGAGUCUUCCCCAAGACCACAAAGCUAACGGGUGAGUAAAGACACAACCAAAAAAUAAGAACAAGGACUCAAAGAAGGCUUCAAGUACGGAAACAUGAACCAUCUGACAACUUGUAGGAAAAACAAGAGAUUCUUCUAUCUGCAUUUCAAUUCGUCUGUGCCAGUAUGUGAAGAAGGCAUUGUAGGUGGGCAGAAGGAGGGAGGGAAAAAUGAGAGAAAGAAAAAAUAAAAUGUAGAUGUCUGAAAUGAUUUAAAAAAACAAUUGUGUGGCAUAAGAAAAAAUGAUUUUAAUGCUUAUAAUGAAAUCAAGUUAGAGCUGGGCUCCAAAGGCUCAUGCGUGUAACCCUAGCUACUCAGGAAGCUGAAAUCC
Long non-coding RNA from Dipodomys spectabilis (banner-tailed kangaroo rat), 588 nucleotides. RefSeq lists it as uncharacterized. The transcript is spliced from 4 exons. NCBI's taxonomy places the organism in Eukaryota, Metazoa, Chordata, Mammalia, Rodentia, Heteromyidae. The record is from RefSeq and is a predicted model, not a curated record.